UGGGGAAUAUUGGGCAAUGGGCGAAAGCCUGACCCAGCAACGCCGCGUGAAUGAAGAAGGCCUUCGGGUUGUAAAGUUCUGUCCUAUGGGACGAAAAAAAUGACGGUACCAUAGGAGGAAGCCCCGGCUAACUACGUGCCAGCAGCCGCGGUAAUACGUAGGGGGCUAGCGUUGUCCGGAAUUACUGGGCGUAAAGGGUGCGCAGGCGGAGCCUUAAGUCAGAUGUGAAAUAUCCGGGCUUAAUUCGGAGGGUGCAUUUGAAACUGGGGUGCUGGAGUGCAGUAGAGGAAAGUGGAAGUCCUAGUGUAGCGGUGAAAUGCGUAGAUAUUAGGAGGAACACCAGUGGCGAAGGCGACUUUCUGGACUGUAACUGACGCUGAGGCACGAAAGCGUGGGGAGCAAACA
This 405-nucleotide ribosomal RNA is filed under the name uncultured prokaryote. RNAcentral's name for it is "bacterial SSU rRNA". It matches the Rfam family "Bacterial small subunit ribosomal RNA", at positions 355 to 774 of the family's 1533-position model. The record is from RNAcentral.